AGCCGACGUCUCCACGGCUCAGGGACGGAAGUACGUCACCAUUCAGCACUGCAGAGCCAGGCCGGGGGCGUGUUCUAUACACGGGGCCGGGAGCUCGUCCCGUUCGCGGGUCUUUUUCUUCUAUUUAAAAGGUCUUCUACUGCUGCAAUGCAAGGCCCCUUCAUCCUCACUGGUUACCCACCCCCACACACAUGCCAGCAUAGGACCAGCGGUCCUAUAUACUGUACCUUCGCUGUGUGGAAGAACCACAGGAAGAUAAGAAACAGAUCACGAGAUUAGCAAUUAAGAGCUGCUUCUGUGGGAUGGUUGAUAAAUGAGACAAUGUAAUAUCACAGGAACUGAACUAACCAUUUGUUUAGGAUAAUUAUCUAUGUGUAUAAUGCCACCCAUGCACAAAACGAUAGCACAUGUAAUCUGAAACACCUCUGCCUUUAUACUGCAGUGUAAGCCUUUGUUACCUGAAGUUAACAAAAAAACAAACUGCAAUUAAAUGAGUAUACAGUAUCUAGUACUGUUACCUGAGUAAAACUGCAUACAUGUAUUUAUCAAUA
Pseudophryne corroboree (corroboree frog) is the source of this 551-nucleotide long non-coding RNA. RefSeq lists it as uncharacterized. The record is from RefSeq and is a predicted model, not a curated record. The transcript is spliced from 3 exons. Lineage: Eukaryota; Metazoa; Chordata; Amphibia; Anura; Myobatrachidae.